CUUCUGAACAUAGUGCGGUAUCCUUCCCAAGACAGAGAUCUGUGUGAUGAGCAGGCCUGCCCCAUGUAAGAGUGAAAGGCAGAAGCUGAAACACAAAAAUCAGUCACAGAAUCCCUUCCAAGGGAGUAAAUGGAGGAGAAACUGGAAAGGUGUGACAGAAGCCAAGAACAUAAGGAGGUGAAAGGCAGUGACUGGGAGCCAGAGAUGAGAUGCUAAACAAGGGGUGGGAGGUCUAGCCCAGAGCCAACAGGGAGAGCUUUGUGAGAGCACUUGCAGUGUCAGCAAUGAGAGCCGCUUUCUGCCUCACUGCCCCGGCCGCCGCCCAGGAAGUCAGGACUGGCUCCUGUUCGGAUCAGGCCAUUUUGCAGCCUUGCUAUUGGCCUGCGGAGCAACUUGCUACUGCCAUGGGACAAGCCUGUGUCCUGUUGGCUGGCCGGUACCUGGUGUCGAGAAUCCUCCAUUCACUAUCCAACUGGGUCAUCAAUUUUACUCUCUGACACGGCAGGCAGCUCUGGACAUCUCAGCACAUUCCAGGAGGAAAAAAAAAAAAAAGAGCUAUACACCAAAUAUUUCAUCACAGGCAGAUAAACUAUUAAUUAUCAAAGGCAAAGGUGAGCAUUAGGAAUUUCUGAAAGGAUCUGGACACCGUCACAUGAAAGGAGUUUCAGGGAAGCCGGCGGCAGAUUCCAGCAUCUCACUACCCUCUAACCAAGAACUUGGCACUAGAUUCUUCUACGUGAGCCUACGUACCGAGAGGCUUUGUGCUGGCUUAUUCAGAAAAGUAAUAAACCGACACGCCGACCAAGCAAGAAACAAACUACACCAAACACCAGGACAUCAGUGGCAUAACCAAACAGAUUUCACGUGACCUCGCAGGGCCAUCCACACAGACGAGAAUGAGAAUACAGGCCCUUGGAGUUGUGCCCAGGCAUUUUCAAAGUGUGCAGAGUAGAAGAAGCACGAAUGGGAGGAGCCGACGGACUUGAGCCCAAGGAAAUGUUCACAUAUGAUCUGGUGACUGGUCUGACAGACCAGAUGUCAUAAGACUCGAGUUAUUUUCCAGUUGCUGUGGGACCAGUGACAAGUCAUACCACCCUGCCUUUCACAAUAUUUCAAAACAUGUGUCACGCAGCUCUUUAAACCAGUUUACCGGCUUCAUCAUUUCUUCCUACUAAUCCACAUCACACAUGACCUACUAAAGGGCAGUGAAUUCUAAGAGGACAACACCAGAAAAGGAAAACAGUGAGUACAUGAAACCCAGGAAAAAGCCAUCACUAUUCUCAUAAACUUAAAAGUGAAUUUAAAAUACAACAAGCACUAAUAAUCAUUGAUUAAUAAGCCACAGGAAUUGAAUAAUAACCGAAGUUGCGCAGGCAGCAUUAAAAUCUAGGUAGUAAACACAUGGUUCCCAAACUUGUAUUUUUAUUAUUUUCCUCUGUGAGAGAGGGUGCACAUAUGCGCAAGCGGGGUGGGCAGGGGACAGAGGGAGAGGGAAAGAGAAUGUUAAGCGGCUCCACCCUCAGGCUCCACCCCCAGGGCCGAGCCCAAAAGUCGGGGCUUGAUCUCACGCCCCUUGAGUCGUGACCUGAGUCAAAACUUAGAGUUGGGCUCUCAACCAACUGAGCCACCCAGCCCACCCCAUCCUUUUUUAAAUUAUAGCACAAACACCAGAUUUGGGGAAAGCAGUUGAGAUUAAGACUCAAGAAACCACUGAAUGACAAUAAAGGCAACAUAAUUCUACUUGCAUAUAACUAAACCCCAUGUUGCCUACAAAGAUCGCACGGCUGAUUGCACCACUGUGAUUCAACAUAAUCAUUCACCCUUAGGCACUCGGAUUGUGUUUGAAGAAAACAGUUCAUGCCCUUGUAGCACUCAAAGACAUAAUCCAAAAGUUAAGUCAUCUCUUGCCUGCAUAUUUUUCUUCGGUGAGGGUUUGAUUUAUAUGAAUCCAUCUUAUUUGUAGUAAAUUAUAUCUAAUCUGCACCAUGUUCCGCAAACAACUCAGAUCAAAUUCUGUCUGAUAAACAUUGCCUGUUGGCCGUACUCAGCUGUAGUAAGAUAAAUUUUACACGUUGAUCGAAAUUGGGCAGCCUAUUUACUGGUAGAGCAGAAUGUCAUGACCUACCAGUUCAGAAGAAUGAUGGAAUCCCUCACUCCCUAUUCCAUCCGUAUUCUAUCAUUAUCAAGCACACUAUUCUACUGUAAGUAAAAGACCAGAUUAAAUUUGAACAGUGUGGACGAAGGGCAGGAAAUAUGGUUUCAAAAAUAAAUUGAAGUAAAAUCAUGAAGGGUCUUAAAUAAUAUUAAAAUGUGUUAAACAAGUACAAAGAAGCCAUUAAUUAAAGAAUUUAAUCAUUCAACGGUA
Molecule: long non-coding RNA, 2365 nt
Organism: Felis catus (domestic cat)
Lineage: Eukaryota; Metazoa; Chordata; Mammalia; Carnivora; Felidae
Exons: 5
Source: RefSeq, a predicted model, not a curated record